This 1262-nucleotide ribosomal RNA is filed under the name Enderleinella sp. KY473. RNAcentral's name for it is "SSU rRNA". It matches the Rfam family "Eukaryotic small subunit ribosomal RNA", at positions 109 to 1297 of the family's 1831-position model. The record is from RNAcentral. Lineage: Eukaryota; Metazoa; Arthropoda; Insecta; Psocodea; Caeciliusidae.
GUUAUGGUUCAUUGGAUGGUACCACGUUACUUGGAUAACUGUGGUAAUUCUAGAGCUAAUACAUGCAAAUAGAGUCCUUGGCAUUAAUUUGUCUUGGAUGCUUUUAUUAGAUCAAAACCAAUCGGGCCUCCGGGUCUGUUGCUUUUGGUGACUCUGAAUAACUUUGGGCUGAUCGCAUGGUCUUGUACCGGCGACGCAUCUUUCAAAUGUCUGACUUAUCAACUUUCGAUGGUAGGUUCUGCGCCUACCACGGUAAUAACGGGUAACGGGGAAUCAGGGUUCGAUUCCGGAGAGGGAGCCUGAGAAACGGCUACCACAUCCAAGGAAGGCAGCAGGCGCGCAAAUUACCCACUCCCAGUUCGGGGAGGUAGUGACGAAAAAUAACGAUGCAGAACUCAUUCCGAGGCUCUGCAAUCGGAAUGAGAACACUCUAAAUCAUUUAACGAGUAUCCAUUGGAGGACAAGUCUGGUGCCAGCACCCGCGGUAAUUCCAGCUCCAAUAGCGUAUAUUAAAGUUGUUGCGGUUAAAAAGCUCGUAGUUGGAUCUGUGUUUCACGCUGACGGUUCACCGUUUGAUCGGUGUCUAACUGUCAUGUACGUGACCCGUCCGGCCGGUUGGCAUGUCCGUGCAGCGGAUUUCGGUUCUUCUGUGCGGCUGCCAGUUCCAAUCUUGUCGCGGUGCUCUUCAUCGAGUGCUGAUGCGGGCGGGCACGUUUACUUCGAACAAAUAAGAGUGCUUAAAGCAGGCUUUAAUUGCCGCGACACUGCGUGCAUGGAAUAAUAAUAUAGGACUUCGGUCGUAUUUUGUUGGUUUUCACGGUCCGAGGUAAUGAUUAAUAGGUACCGACGGGGGCAUUAGUAUUGCGACGUUAGAGGUGAAAUUCUUGGAUCGUCGCAAGACUAACCUAAGCGAAAGCAUUUGCCAAGAAUGCUUCCAUUAAUCAAGAACGAAAGUUAGAGGUUCGAAGGCGAUCAGAUACCGCCCUAGUUCUAACCAUAAACGAUGCCAGCCAGCGAUCUGUCGGUGUCCCUCCGAUGACUCGACAGGCAGCUUCCGGGAAACUAAAGCAUUUGGGUUCCGGGGGAAGUAUGGUUGCAAAGCUGAAACUUAAAGGAAUUGACGGAAAGGCACCACCAGGAGUGGAGCCUGCGGCUUAAUUUGACUCAACACGGGAAAUCUCACCAGGCCAGAACACUAGAUGGAUUGACAGAUUGAGAGCUCUUUCUUGAUUUAGUGGGUGGUGGUGCAUGGCCGUUCUUAG